Molecule: ribosomal RNA, 503 nt
Filed under: uncultured bacterium
Lineage: Bacteria
Description: bacterial SSU rRNA
Rfam family: Bacterial small subunit ribosomal RNA
Source: RNAcentral
UCUGGUUCAGGAUGAACGCUAGCGGCAGGCCUAAUACAUGCAAGGUCGAACGGGAGGCCCCUUCGGGGGGUCGAGAGUGGCGGACGGGUGCGUAACGCGUAUGCAACCAGCCCCAUCCCGCCGGAUAGCCGCUGGAAACGGCGGGUAAUACGGCAUGGUUCCCCAUGGGGGCAUCCCCAUGGGGGCAAAGGGCGACCGGGACGGGACGGGCAUGCGUGCCAUUAGAUGGUCGGCGGGGCGACGGCCCACCGAGUCUGCGAUGGCUAGGGGAUCUGAGAGGACGGUCCCCCACACUGGUACUGAGACACGGACCAGACUCCUGCGGGAGGCAGCAGUAAGGGAUAUUGGGCAAUGGGGGCAACCCUGACCCAGCCAUGCCCGCGUGAGGGAAUGAGGCCCCAGUGGUCGUGAACCUCUUUUGUGCAGGGACAAGGACGGGGUCGGGCACCCCGUUUGAGGGUACUGCAGGAAUAAGCGUCGGCUAACUCCGUGCCAGCCGCGGC